Molecule: ribosomal RNA, 497 nt
Filed under: uncultured bacterium
Lineage: Bacteria
Description: partial 16S ribosomal RNA
Rfam family: Bacterial small subunit ribosomal RNA
Source: RNAcentral
GAUGAACGCUGGCGGCGUGCCUAAUACAUGCAAGUCGAGCGAACGGACGAGAAGCUUGCUUCUCUGAUGUUAGCGGCGGACGGGUGAGUAACACGUGGAUAACCUACCUAUAAGACUGGGAUAACUUCGGGAAACCGGAGCUAAUACCGGAUAAUAUUUUGAACCGCAUGGUUCAAAAGUGAAAGACGGUCUUGCUGUCACUUAUAGAUGGAUCCGCGCUGCAUUAGCUAGUUGGUAAGGUAACGGCUUACCAAGGCAACGAUGCAUAGCCGACCUGAGAGGGUCAUCGGCCACACUGGAACUGAGACACGGUCCAGACUCCUACGGGAGGCAGCAGUAGGGAAUCUUCCGCAAAGGGCGAAAGCCUGACGGAGCAACGCCGCGUGAGUGAUGAAGGUCUUCGGAUCGUAAAACUCUGUUAUUAGGGAAGAACAUAUGUGUAAGUAACUGUGCACAUCUUGACGGUACCUAAUCAGAAAGCCACGGCUAACUACGUG